Molecule: ribosomal RNA, 435 nt
Filed under: uncultured bacterium
Lineage: Bacteria
Description: partial 16S ribosomal RNA
Rfam family: Bacterial small subunit ribosomal RNA
Source: RNAcentral
AGCGAACGCUGGCGGCAGGCUUAACACAUGCAAGUCGAGCGGGCACUUUCGGGUGUCAGCGGCGGACGGGUGAGUAACGCGUGGGAACGUGCCCUCUGGUUCGGAAUAACUCAGGGAAACUUGAGCUAAUACCGGAUACGCCCUUUUGGGGAAAGGCUUGCUGCCGGAGGAUCGGCCCGCGUCUGAUUAGCUAGUUGGUGAGGUAACGGCUCACCAAGGCGACGAUCAGUAGCUGGUCUGAGAGGAUGAUCAGCCACACUGGGACUGAGACACGGCCCAGACUCCUACGGGAGGCAGCAGUGGGGAAUAUUGGACAAUGGGCGCAAGCCUGAUCCAGCCACGCCGCGUGAGUGAUGAAGGCCUUAGGGUUGUAAAGCUCUUUUAUCCGGGACGAUAAUGACGGUACCGGAGGAAUAAGCCCCGGCUAACUUCGUG